UACGAUGUAUAUGAAAAUAUAUAUGAUUUUUAUCUGUAACUGAGAAAUAGUAUAAUAGCUUUUGUAAAACAAUAUUAUAUUAAACUACUAUAUUAUAUUAUAUUAUAUUAUAUUAUAUUAUAUUAUAUUAUAUGAACACCAGCCCCAGAAUCAGGAAGCUUUGUGCUAGCCCUUACACAUAUUGUUUUAAUUAUUCUAUAACCUAAAUUCAUUUUUAAAUACUCUUUUUUCUUAUCACCCUUGUGCUAGUUACCUGCAAAACCAAAAGAAAAGGUUUAUGGAAAUAUGUUGUAAAAUUAAAUGCCAUUAUUAUACUUGUUAUUUUAAAAUUUAGUUUAUUUGCACAUUUAAUUUUCCUAAUAAUAUUUGUUAUAUAUAUUAAACAUAACAUUCAAUUUCAUUAUUAUUAGAUUUAGAAGGAAAUCUAGUUAUUCAACAGAUAUUUAUUAUACCCUUCACUAUGGAUUAAGAAAUAGGACUCAUUUCUGCAUUGGGUGACUGUGGAUGGAUUUGUUGAGGAGGGGAAGCAAUGGAGGACAAACAAGGGCAUUUCCACUUUACACAGCAAGUGUGUGUGCUUCCACUCAGCUAUUUCUCUUGGAUAAAAUUUUCCCAUUAUCUUGUUCUUCAAGGACUGUGUGGAGGUUGGAAGACAGAGUUUGGCUACACUUGAAUCACUGGGGGUUCUUUUAUGCCCAUAAAUUAAAUGUUUCAAUUCAAACACAUAAAAUUGGCUUAUAGCACGCAGCGUAAUUGAGGCUGAUCUUUUUAUGAAGAUCAUAAUAUUUGACUUGAUUCUUAAAAGAUAAAUUGAAUCUGAGUACUGAAUUGGAGGACUGUAUGCUUCCCAAGGAGAACUCACCAUGGCAAAGGCACAGUUGUGUGACGAAGUCUGGUUGUGGACAGUGGCAACGCCUGGAUUUUCUGAGCGUGGAAUAUGUGGGCCCAAGUGAUGGGAGAAGAAGGAGAGUCAGCGUUUUUAAAGAUGUGGCUCAUCUCCUUGGUCCUGUGGAGGCUUGAUGACCCAGGAGAGGGGAAUGCUAUCCUGCUGAAGCAGGAGUGGGAAUAUUGAGCCUUCAAGGAAGUGGUUCACAUUCAGUUUCAAAGUAGCCUGAAAUAAAUGGAAGAUUUCUACCUGGUUUUGUGCUGAAUGGGCGAAGUGCUAUAUUAUUGACCUAAGCAUGACCAGGUCAGUGAUCCCAAUGUCUCAGACUAAUGGGAAUGGCAAGUCAAGAUCAGGCUCAGAAGAACGUUUAAGCCUUUUCCUAGCCAAUGUACCAAAUGUUUAUGGUUGGCUAAAACCAGUGUGUACAGAAAGCAUCAAAUGCUGCCUCCUCCUCCUCCUGAAUGACUGGGUCCCAAGACUGACCCAAUCCAGAGACCUUCUGCUGACAUUAGCUCACUCACUUCUCCUUGUUCUUGCUGUAUAUAAUAGAGUGCUGAGUUUCUAGGAUGUGACAGGUACAUAUUCAUCAGAGCACAUGGCCUACUAAGUCCCAAUCAUUCUGUAUGUAUGUCUUUGAUUCGUUCCCAUCCCCCCAUUUUUCCUGAAUGUUUUUACUUGUCUGUUCAUACCAAAAUAAUGUUUUACUGAUUUUUUUCCCUGCUUUGGUUAUCAAGACUGGCUUACUACCAUCUGGAAUGGGAUGUCAAGUGUUCUUAGACAGUUCACUUUCCUUAGGCGGAUCACUUGGUCCCUAGCUCAGUGGUACUGGGAGAUGGUGCCUUUAAGAGGGGGCACCUUUUGGGAAAUUCCCUUGUGGGAACUGCACUGUGCCCUUUGUCACAGAGUGACUCACAACUAAACCUGCAUGUCAUUGCUACACGAGAUGAAAAGAUACUUGCCUCUAUAUAGGCAAACAUUAACCAAUUAAUUUAUACUGAAUUCAGGUAUUCCUCCAAAUAUCAAACUCUAUAUACUGGUCUAACGCUAAAACCCCAAAGACUCUUGAGAAUCUCUGUAGAGGUCAAGAGGUUUGGAUGACUAAAUGCAUUUAAGCACAGUUGUGACUAUCUCACAGAAAAAGAGCUGGCAUGGGAAGACGAAAAGCAACUUACACUUCGUUUUUCUCGUUCCUGGUCCUCAGGCACCUGAAAGGCAAUCAGUGAGAUUAAUUUGUGCUGAUGAAAACAGGUGAGAAAUAUACACAUGUACAUGAGAGAAAUAUACACAAGUACACACAAGAAAUAUAUACAUGUACAUGUGAGAAAUAUACACAUGUACAUAUGAGAAAUACAUGUGUACAUGUGAGAAAUAUACAGGUGUGCACAGGAGAAAUAUAUACAUGUACAUGUGAGAAAUAGUUCAACUACUUUCUAAUGCUGUUUCAAGUUAUCCAUUAAAAUAUAAGACUUGGUUAUCCAGAUGAUAUAGAGAGAAUAUUCAGUAAAAAUUGUUACUGGGCAUCAUAAUUGUUUUUUCUUUUUGUGGUGAUGAGAAUCAACCAUCAAUCCUUGGAUUUCUCAACUCAACACAAGGUAGGAUAAUCUAGGAAGGGGAACCUGAUGUCUCCAUCUGAUUUCUCUUGGGCAAGUCUAUAGGGCACUAUCUUCUUUAGGUAUUGAUGUGGAAGGGCCCAGCGCACUCCAUGCAGCACUGUCUCUGAGCAGGUGGUCCUAAGUUGUAUUGGACAGCACAAUGAAUAGGCCAUAGGGAGCAAAUCAGUGAGCAGGACCUUUCCAUGGCCUCAGCUUUAGUUCUAGUCUCCUGUUUCUGUCUUUAGUUCCUGCUCUGACGUGUGACGGAGUGUGACCCAAGCACAGCAAGCUGCAAUAAAACAUUUCCUCCCCAAAUUGCUUUUGGUUAUGGUGUUUAUCACAGCAAUAGAAACUGAGCCAGCUCUCAGGCACAUGUUGUAGCACUGGAUGUUGCUCCUGUUUCUUAGAGCGCAUUUUUAGAUGUUGCCAUAUUUGCUAUGCACAAGAACUACAUGGGAUCAGUCAUGCACCAAGGAGCAUAUGACAUUUCCUGAAAUACAAUGCUACAGGUCAGGUUGUAAAUAUCUUUAUACACUGAAAUGUGAAGAGAGAGUAAUAACAUCAUGGAGAAUCAUGAAUCUAAAGUUCGUAAACGCUUUAGAGAUUAGAAGUGAUUUACUCACCGGGAGACAAGCAGUUAUUGCCAGGAUGGCAGAGAGCAGGAGAAGAGCUUUCAUCUUGUUUAGAAAUGUCCUAGACAUCGUAAGGAAGACUGAAUAUUAGCAGAAAUCCAGGUGAUACAAGCCCGGUACAGUGUGUGGAACUAACAGCUCUCCAGACUUAGCCGGUCAUUUGCAGUUUUAUUGUCUGUUUACCAGUGGGAAACUUUUCAAAAGUAAAUACAGGGAUGAUUUGUGAUUUUACGACUUCAUUAUAUCGUUUCUUUAAAAAUAUUUAUGAAUGCUGUCUUAAAUACCUUACUAACUAGAGAUUUACUGUUCAGUAUGCAAUACAGUUUUCUGAGGAAUAUUUAGCUCAUUUCUCAUGUCAUUAACAUCAUUUUGGGGUGAUUUUGAGAUCAUGGCUAUUUAUUUUUAUCACUUUCUGAGUUUUUCUAUGUACCUAUGAGGCAGAGAUUAAAACAUGAAAGAAUAAAAUAUUGCCACAUCUUCAAUUCUGUCUUUGUUUCUCUCUCAUCAUAUCAGUGAAAAUGUAACUGGACUCUACAGCAUACCAGGAGAAGAGUGAUGAAUUUAAAGACAGGCAUUUAAAAAUUUUGUCAAGUUUAGCAUUCCAGUGACCAACUCUCAGUAUAGAAAAACGAUCGUAUAACCCCAUGCAAAUACACUUUUACCUUCUUUGUUCAAACAUGGUGCUGGCCACUAUCAAGGAAAUAACUAUAAGGCCUGCCUGAGCCCUUUCAGGUGGAGACUAUUCAGAAAUAAUUAAGUCUUCGUAAUGUAAAGCAACAUGGAGUAUACACUAUAAAUAGAAGUUACAAAAUAUUGAGAGCAUACGGAAGAGAUAGAGUGGGGAAUUAAGUUUUGAAGAGUAUAGAAUUGUAGAUAAUUUUAUACAAUGGGAUGAUUUUCAAGGAUUAUUUAAAAUCUCAUUAAACAGAGAGGUAAAAAAUCACAGACUCCUUUGGACCAUGUCUUGUGUUUUAUAAAUGGCUACAUGCCAUAAUUACCAAUGACCUUUUGUUCCCUCAAGCCAUCACAGUAUAUUGUUCUAUUGAAAAGUCUUAACGUUAUGAAGGAGUCAGAUGUGUUUUGUGGCACAACAAUUUCAUUCAUCCAAAGGUUGAUAUAAAAGAGAAUUUAAAUCAUUUUUAUACUAAAAUCAAUACGACAUAUUAGAAUGGGGCAUAAAGGAUAAUACUUUAAGGAGUUACUAACAAAGUGGUAAUUCUCUUUUCUUUUUUUUCUGUCCAGACAGGGUUUCACUCUAUGUGGCUCUGGCUGUUCUGGAACUUGGUAGAUCAGGUUGGCCUCAAACUUUCAGAGGUCCAGAGAUCCAAUCACUGGCCUCUGUCUCCCAAAUGUUUUCACUAAAGAUUUGCAGCACUACAUGCGGCAAAAUCAAAAGUGCUUAAUUCUUUUUACCCAUAGAAUGCCUGAAAUCUUUGCUGACUUGGUCCAUAAAAUUCAAAAUGAUGAAUCUCAUCUCAUUCCCAUCCCCUGCAUCAGUGCCCAUCCUUGCAAAGAUUCCUUUAUGGUCAAUCUUAAACUAUAUCCUUAGUAUAGAAAAAUGGUGGAAAUGAAAAUUUAACAAACAGAAAUAAUAGUCAAAUUAUUGUUUGUAAUUUCAAGCAAGCAUUCCAUGAUAGUUUCAACUCUGGUACUUUAUAAAAAAGGAAUAUGCACACAUAGCAUCGAUCUCCAGAAGAGUUUUUUGACUAUAGCUUGCAGCAGUAAAUCAGAGCCCUCUUACCUGAAACUCUCCACUCAGUUUCUUCCCACUGAUGCUGCCGUCGUCAGUGGUGGAUGACAGGCCCCUCACCAUUGAAUCUCUUUUAUACACUCCCAGUGCAAUGGAAUGGAGAAGUCCAUGGCUGGAAAGCCACUCCCUGGGAUCAAUCAGUAUCCUACCAGCUCAACCAUCAUAAUCCAUUGAAACUGAGAAAUGAGUGACAUUGUCAGUUUCAUCGGAACUAUGGCUGAAUGAUGCUGAAUAUUUCCUUUGUGGUUUUCCUUUACGUUUUGUCUCUCAUGGGUUUGGGGCUUAUUGCUUUACAGACAUGAGUGUUACAUAUCUAUUAAACCACCUAAUCUCUAAAACAGCAGCAAGUGCAAAAAUGAUUAUUAGACCUUCCCAUUGUGUAGGUCAAGGGCCUGAGAAAUUGAGAGGGUUAGUACUUAAUUUAAAAUCCACAACUAGAGUUCUGCCAAUAUUGUGUUGACUGCUGCAGUUGGUUUCCCAGACCCGCCUAUUACCAGCAUUUUAUAUUAUCACUCUAAGGGUGGAAAAACCCAAAGAAACACUAAAGUUUAUUAUCUGUAACAACAUUUAUCCUUGUUUCACUGACUCAAAGAGAACUGAACUGGUGAUCUGCUAAAUACAAUAUAUCACCAUAUAUGUUUUCAUUUUGAACAUUUGGAGGUCAGAGUAGGCUCUCAUCCAGAGGUAGAAAUGUUAAGCGCAUGUUUGCUCCCCCACCCCGAGUCUUUCUGUCUUUCUGUCUGUCUGUCUGUUUGUCUGUCUGCCUGUGUGUGUGUGUGUGUGUGUGUGUGUGUGUGUGUGUGUGAUUUUUCUUCUUUGAAAAAGAGUUUGAGGGGAUUCAUAAGAAACAAGGUGAACAGAUUGUCAAACAAAAGGCCAUAAGCUUUUGGGACUCAGAUGUCAGAGGAAAGAUUUAAUGUGUUAACAUAGUAGAAUACUUUAAAAGGAAAAACUUUAAGUAUCAAGAACACCCAUCUCUGUGGAUAUUCAGGAAGCAGCUUGCAGACCACAGACUGAGGUGUGGCUGAAGGCACUGUUGUGUGGCCAAUGGAAUUAAGUGAUCUCUUUGCACCAUUUCAACUAUAAUCCAUAGACAGGGUGGGACAGAAGGAAAUGCCACUGAUACAUUCUAGCAGUCAUGCAAAUACAAACUCCUUUAAUCAUUAGUGGGUUAGAAUUAGUAGUAGGGAAAUUCACUUUGAAAACCACAGUAUGGUUGCUAGACUGCAGUGGAGGACCCAUUGGUUCUUAUUUCAGAAAGAAGCCAGAAGUCUACUAGACCACACAUGUGGUCUGUAGAAUUUGGAUCGUGGAGAAAAGUUUGACGCAUUUUAGAUAAUUAUCAUCAUCUUGUAUGAAUUGAAAACCUAGAGAAAUAACCUAACCUUUCUUUUUUUUUUUUUUAUUAACUUGAGUAUUUCUUAUAUACAUUUUGAGUGUUAUUCCCUUUCCCAGUUUCCGGGCAAACAUCCCCCUCCCCUCCCCUUCUUUAUGGGUGUUCCCCUCCCCAUCCUCCCCCCCUUGUCGCCCUCCCCCCAACAAUCUAGUUCACUGGGGAUUCAGUCUUAGCAGGACCCAGGGCUUCCCCUUCCACUGGUGCUCUUACUAGGAUAUUCAUUGCUACCUAUGAGGUCAGAGUCCAGGGGUCAGUCCAUGUAUAGUCUUUAGGUAGUGGCUUAGUCCCUGGAAGCUCUGGUUGCUUAGCAUUGUUGUACAUAUGGGGUCUCGAGCCCCUUCAAGCUCUUCCAGUUCUUUCUCUGAUUCCUUCAACGGGGGUCCUAUUCUCAAUUCAGUGGUUUGCUGCUGGCAUACGCCUCUGUGUUUGCUGUAUUCUGGCUGUGUCUCUCAGGAGCGAUCUACAUCCAGCUCCUGUCGGCCUGCACUUCUUUGCUUCAUCCAUCUUGUCUAAUUGGAUGGCUGUAUAUGCAUGGGCCACAUGUGGGGCAGGCUCUGAAUGGGUGUUACUUCUGUGUCUGUUUUAAUUUUUGCCUCUCUAUUCCCUGCCAAGGGUAUUCUUGUUCCCCUUUUAAAGAAGGAGUGAAGCAUUCACAUUUUGAUCAUCCCUCUUGAGUUUCAUUUGUUCUAGGCAUCUAGGGUAAUUCAAGCAUUUGGGUUAAUAGCCACUUAUCAAUGAGUGCAUACCAUGUGUGUUUUUCUGUGAUUGGGUUACCUCACUCAGGAUGAUAUUUUCCAGUUCCGACCAUUUGCCUAUGAAUUUCAUAAGGUCAUUGAUUUUGAUAGCUGAGUAAUAUUCCAAUGUGUAGAUGUACCACAUUUUCUGUAUCCAUUCCUCUGUUGAAGGGCAUCUGGGUUCUUUCCAGCUUCUGACUAUUAUAAAUAAGGCUGCGAUGAACAUAGUGGAGCACGUGACUUUUUUAUAUGUUGGGAAAUAUUUUGGGUAUAUGCCCAAGAGAGGUAUAGCUGAAUCCUCAGGCAGUUCAAUGUCCAAUUUUCUGAGGAAACUCCAGACUGAUUUCCAGAAUGGUUGUACCAGUCUGCAAUCCCACCAACAGUGGAGGAGUGUUCCUCUUUCUCCACAUCCUCGCCAGCAUCUGCUGUCACCUGAGUUUUUGAUCUUAGCCAAUCGCACUGGUGUGAGGUGAAAUCUCAGGGUUGUUUUGAUUUGCAUUUCCCUUAUGACUAAAGAUGUUGAACAUUUCCUUAGGUGUUUCUCAGCCAUUCGGCAUUCCUCAGCUGUGAAUUCCUUGUUUAGCUCUGAAUCCCAUUUUUUAAUAGGGUUAUUUGUCUCCCUGCAGUCUAACUUCUUGAGUUCUUUGUAUAUUUUGGAUAUAAGGCCACUAUCUGUUGUAGGAUUGGUAAAGAUCUUUUCCAAAUCUGUUGGUUGCUGUUUUGUACUAACCACAGUGUCCUUUGCCUUAGAGAAGCUUUGCAGUUUUAUGAGAUCCCAUUUGUCGAUUCUUGAUCUUAGAGCAUACGCCAUUGGUGUUUUGUUCAGGAAAUUUUUUCCAGUGCCCAUGUGUUCCAGAUGCUUCCCUAGUUUUUCUUCUAUUAGUUUGAGUGUGUCUGGUUUGAUGUGGAGGUCCUUGAUCCACUUGGACUUAAGCUUUGUACAGGGUGAUAAGCAUGGAUCGAUCUGCAUUCUUCUACAUGUUGACCUCCAGUUGAAUCAGCACCAUUUGCUGAAAUUGCUAUCUUUUUUCCAUUGGAUGGUUUUGGCUCCUUUGUCAAAAAUCAAGUGACCAUAGGUGUGUGGGUUCAUUUCUGGGUCUUCAAUUCUGUUCCAUUGGUCUAACUGUCUGUCUCUGUACCAAUACCAUGCAGUUUUUAUCACUAUUGCUCUGUAAUACUGCUUGAGUUCAGGGAUAGUGAUUCCCCCUGAAGUCCUUUUAUUGUUGAGGAUAAUUUUUGCUAUUCUGGGUGUUUUGUUAUUCCAGAUGAAUUUGCAAACUGUUCUGUCUAACUCUUUGAAGAAUUGGAUUGGUAUUUUGAUGGGGAUUGCAUUGAAUCUGUAGAUCACUUUUGGUAAAAUGGCCAUUUUUACUAUAUUAAUCCUGCCAGUCCAUGAGCAUGGGAGAUCUUUCCAUCUUCUGAGGACUUCUUCAAUUUCUUCAGAGUCUUGAAGUUCUUAUUGUACAAAUCUUUUACUUGCUUGGUUAAAGUCACACCGAGGUACUUUAUACUAUUUGGGUCUAUUAUGAAGGGUGUUGUUUCCCUAAUUUCUUUCUCAGCUUGUUUCUCUUUUGUAUAGAGGAAGGCUACUGAUUUAUUUGAGUUAAUUUUAUACCCAGCCACUUUGCUGAAGUUGUCUAUCAGCUUUAGUAGUUCUCUGGUGGAACUUUUGGGAUCACUUAAAUAUACUAUCAUAUCAUCUGCCAAAAGUGAUAUUUUGACUUCUUCUUUUCCGAUCUGUAUCCCCUUGACCUCCUUUUGUUGUCUGAUUGCUCUGGCUAGAACUUCAAGAAUUAUAUUGAAUAAGUAGAGAGAGAGUGGGCAGCCUUGUCUAGUCCGUGAUUUUAGUGGGAUUGCUUCAAGUUUCUCUCCAUUUAGUUUAAUGUUAGCAACUGGUUUGCUGUAUAUGGCUUUUACUAUGUUUAGGUAUGGGCCUUGAAUUCCUAUUCUUUCCAGGACUUUUAUCAUGAAGGGGUGUUGAAUUUUGUCAAAUGCUUUCUCAGCAUCUAAUGAAAUGAUCAUGUGGUUCUGUUCUUUCAGUUU
Molecule: non-coding RNA, 9033 nt
Organism: Rattus norvegicus (Norway rat)
Lineage: Eukaryota; Metazoa; Chordata; Mammalia; Rodentia; Muridae
Source: RefSeq, a predicted model, not a curated record